This 253-nucleotide ribosomal RNA is filed under the name uncultured bacterium. RNAcentral describes it as "partial 16S ribosomal RNA". It matches the Rfam family "Bacterial small subunit ribosomal RNA", at positions 524 to 776 of the family's 1533-position model. The record is from RNAcentral.
UACGUAGGGACCGAGCGUUGUCCGGAUUCAUUGGGCGUAAAGAGCUCGUAGGCGGCUGCUCAAGUCGAAUGUGAAAACUCGAGGCUCAACCUCGAGCCUGCAUUCGAUACUGGGCGGCUAGAGUCUGGUAGGGGGAUCUGGAAUUCCUGGUGUAGCGGUGGAAUGCGCAGAUAUCAGGAGGAACACCAAUUGCGAAGGCAGCUCGCUGGGACGUAACUGACGCUGAGACGCGAAAGCGUGGGGAGCAAACAGG